CAUCUUGCCACUCUUCCUUCACAUCCACAUUUUCCAUCCGCAAAGUGGCUUCUGUGGUUCCCAUGGUGCUCAGAGAGGAGUUGGCUGCACGGUGGUUCCCUCGAGGAUGGACUUGGGCUGGAAGGUGGAAGGCAGAGAGCACUCCUGCCGAGGGAGAUGAGAUGUGGCUGAAAGGGAAGAGAAGAAAGAGCUCCUCCCAGGCUCGUUUCAGAGGAAUUCCUUCCUGCCGCUGCCUGGUCUGUGCUCCAGCCCUGCGCCCCCGAGAGAAAUGGAGAGAAGCGAGGAGGCCUUCACAGGGAUGUUUGAUGUCCUUCUAAAGCCCUGAAGAAUUCACAUCUCUGCCUCAUCCCAGGUAAACCAAAACAGAUGCCAAAAAACUGGAGGCAAAAUGGGUGUUCUGUUCCAGUCUGGGCUCUCUCCUGUACUGGGAUGAACUGGAGAAGUUCAAAUCCUUGCUUUCACUUGCACUAACACCACAGCAGCGUGAGGAGCUCUUGGUUUGCCUUCCCUAGAAGGUUCCUAUGCUGCCAGCAAGCAAAAAUCAGACCUUUGUAGCUAUUUCCCGGUGACUGCACCUGCAACUCCUAACAAAGUCUGGCUGAGGGCUCGGGACCAGCUCUGGCCGGAGAGAGCAGAUACCCUGCUCUCAGCUGGAUGCUGAGCUUAGCAGCAGCUGAGCUGAACGGGACAAAGUCAGCCCUUAUCUUAUGUAUAUAAUUAGUGUAUAUAUAUAUAGAGCUAGG
This is a long non-coding RNA of Cuculus canorus (common cuckoo), 743 nucleotides long. RefSeq lists it as uncharacterized. The record is from RefSeq and is a predicted model, not a curated record. Lineage: Eukaryota; Metazoa; Chordata; Aves; Cuculiformes; Cuculidae. The transcript is spliced from 3 exons.